GUAAACCCAAGGUUGCCAGGGGAAGGGUCGGCCGGCCCGGGUUAGUCGGGACCUAAGCUGGGGCGGAAAGGCGUAGGGGAUGGACAACAGGUGGAUCUUCCUGUACUACCGAUAACCGUUUGGGAGAAGGGAUGACACAGUAGGAUAAGCUAAGCACGCUGUUGGUUGGGCGUGACC
This 177-nucleotide ribosomal RNA is filed under the name Clostridioides difficile. Its description in RNAcentral is "partial 23S ribosomal RNA". It matches the Rfam family "Bacterial large subunit ribosomal RNA", at positions 1339 to 1513 of the family's 2925-position model. Lineage: Bacteria; Bacillati; Bacillota; Clostridia; Peptostreptococcales; Peptostreptococcaceae. The record is from RNAcentral.